AACGAACGCUGGCGGCAUGCCUAACACAUGCAAGUCGAACGAGCCCUUCGGGGUUAGUGGCGCACGGGUGGGUAACGCGUGGGAAUCUGCCCUUGGGUUCGGAAUAACAGUGAGAAAUUACUGCUAAUACCGGAUGAUGUCUUCGGACCAAAGAUUUAUCGCCCAAGGAUGGGGCCGCGUAGGAUUAGCUAGUUGGUGGGGUAAUGGCCUACCAAGGCUACGAUCCUUAGCUGGUCUGAGAGGAUGACCAGCCACCCUGGGACUGGGACACGGCCCAGACUCCUACGGGAGGAAGCAAUGGGGAAUAUUGGACGAUGGGCGAAAGCCUGAUCCAGCAAUGCCGCGUGAGUGAUGAAGGCCUUAGGGUUGUAAAGCUCUUUUACCCGGGAUGAUAAUGACGGUACCGGGAGAAUAAGCUCCGGCUAACUCCGUG
This 433-nucleotide ribosomal RNA is filed under the name uncultured bacterium. RNAcentral's name for it is "partial 16S ribosomal RNA". It matches the Rfam family "Bacterial small subunit ribosomal RNA", at positions 29 to 507 of the family's 1533-position model. The record is from RNAcentral.